GAUGAAGAACGCAGCGAAAUGCGAUAAGUAGUGUGAAUUGCAGAAUUCAGUGAAUCAUCGAAUCUUUGAACGCACAUUGCGCCCCUUGGUAUUCCAUGGGGCAUGCCUGUUCGAGCGUCAUUUGUACCUUCAAGCCUUGCUUGGUGUUGGGUGUUUGUCUCGCCUCUGCGCGCAGACUCGCCUCAAAACAAUUGGCAGCCGGCGUAUUGAUUUCGGAGCGCAGUACAUCUCGCGCUUUGCACUCAGAACGACGACGUCCAAAAGUACAUUUUUACACUCUUGACCUCGGAUCAGGUAGGGAUACCCGCUGAUCUUAAGCAUAUCAAUAAGCGGAGGA
This 337-nucleotide unclassified non-coding RNA is filed under the name soil metagenome. RNAcentral's name for it is "partial contains 5.8S ribosomal RNA, internal transcribed spacer 2, and large subunit ribosomal RNA". The stretch from base 1 to 120 matches the Rfam family "5.8S ribosomal RNA", at positions 35 to 154 of the family's 154-position model. The record is from RNAcentral.